AGAGUUUGAUCCUGGCUCAGGACGAACGCUGGCGGCGUGCUUAACACAUGCAAGUCGAACGGAAAGGCCUCUUCGGAGGCACUCGAGUGGCGAACGGGUGAGUAACACGUGGGUAAUCUGCCCUGCACUUCGGGAUAAGCCUGGGAAACUGGGUCUAAUACCGGAUAGGACCAUUUGGCGCAUGCCUCAUGGUGGAAAGC
RNAcentral lists this ribosomal RNA (200 nucleotides) under uncultured bacterium. RNAcentral's name for it is "partial 16S ribosomal RNA". It matches the Rfam family "Bacterial small subunit ribosomal RNA", at positions 8 to 208 of the family's 1533-position model. The record is from RNAcentral.